RNAcentral lists this ribosomal RNA (433 nucleotides) under uncultured Clostridium sp. Its description in RNAcentral is "partial 16S ribosomal RNA". It matches the Rfam family "Bacterial small subunit ribosomal RNA", at positions 341 to 792 of the family's 1533-position model. Lineage: Bacteria; Bacillati; Bacillota; Clostridia; Eubacteriales; Clostridiaceae. The record is from RNAcentral.
ACGGGAGGCAGCAGUGGGGAAUAUUGGACAAUGGGCGAAAGCCUGAUGCAGCAACGCCGCGUGAGUGAAGAAGUAUUUCGGUAUGUAAAGCUCUAUCAGCAGGGAAGAAAAUGACGGUACCUGACUAAGAAGCCCCGGCUAACUACGUGCCAGCAGCCGCGGUAAUACGUAGGGGGCAAGCGUUAUCCGGAUUUACUGGGUGUAAAGGGAGCGUAGGCGGCCAGACAAGUCAGAUGUGAAAACCCUGGGCUUAACCCGGGACCUGCAUUUGAAACUGUAGGGCUAGAGUACUGGAGAGGCAAGUGGAAUCCUAGUGUAGCGGUGAAAUGCGUAGAUAUUAGGAAGAACACCAGUGGCGAAGGCGACUUGCUGGACAGAGACUGACGCUGAGGCUCGAAAGCGUGGGGAGCAAACAGGAUUAGAUACCCUGGUA